Small nuclear RNA from Mirounga angustirostris (Northern elephant seal), 105 nucleotides. NCBI's taxonomy places the organism in Eukaryota, Metazoa, Chordata, Mammalia, Carnivora, Phocidae. The record is from RefSeq and is a predicted model, not a curated record.
GUGUUUGCUUCCGCAGUACGUAUACUAAAAUUGAAGUAAUACAGAGAAGCUAACAUGGUCCCUGUGUAGACAGACAUACAGGCUCAUGACGUGUUCCAUAUUUUU